AAGCUGUCGCAUGACUGGCGGAUGACGUGGGUGACCACGGGGGAGUGCGACAGUGGGAGAGCCGGCCGCCUGGGCACUUGAA
This 82-nucleotide non-coding RNA is filed under the name Alicyclobacillus acidocaldarius. RNAcentral's name for it is "ZTP sequence". It matches the Rfam family "ZMP/ZTP riboswitch aptamer (pfl RNA motif)". From Rfam's summary of the family: Previously known as pfl RNA. The record is from RNAcentral. Lineage: Bacteria; Bacillati; Bacillota; Bacilli; Caryophanales; Alicyclobacillaceae. RNAcentral also lists the same sequence under 1 other name.